RNAcentral lists this transfer RNA (72 nucleotides) under Camelus bactrianus (Bactrian camel). It matches the Rfam family "tRNA". From Rfam's summary of the family: Transfer RNA (tRNA) molecules are approximately 80 nucleotides in length. Their secondary structure includes four short double-helical elements and three loops (D, anti-codon, and T loops). RNAcentral also lists the same sequence under 2 other names. Lineage: Eukaryota; Metazoa; Chordata; Mammalia; Artiodactyla; Camelidae. The record is from Rfam by way of RNAcentral.
GAGGGUAUGGCUCAGUGGUAGAGCACAUGCUUAGCAUGCACGAGGUCCUGGGUUCAAUCCCCCGUACCUCCA